This 427-nucleotide long non-coding RNA is filed under the name Ursus maritimus (polar bear). Its description in RNAcentral is "lncRNA (ENSUMAG00000016783.1)". Lineage: Eukaryota; Metazoa; Chordata; Mammalia; Carnivora; Ursidae. The record is from RNAcentral.
AUUAAGUAGUUAAGAUGGUUUUACAUCUAAUGUUUAGGCCCAAGUAAGUUCUUUUAUAUCCAUAAUUUGUAUCAGCAAUGCCCUACCUCUUCUGUCUUCCAGCUUGUAGGCCAUCAACAAAUAUUUCUUGAGUAAAUCCUUGUAUUUCUUUCCAUAUCACCAGUUAAGGGCUUCAGAAUGUUCAAAGUGGUACAUGCCAGACUUCACUUACUUCAUUUUCUGUCAUAGGAGAAACCCAUCAACAGACUUCUACAUUGUGCUCAGGCUACUUGCUUCCAGUCUAUGCCUGCAUUUUGGAGCCUCUCCCAAGGGCUCUUAGCAGAGAAAGAGGCCUGAAUGGAAGAAAAAGGAAAACAGAAAGACACGGCUGCAGGGAUGAGUCCCUUCCACCAGAAAACAAAGCUCUCCCUGAAGAACUUCCCAGCAG